GAUGAAGAACGUAGCAAAAUGCGAUACUUGGUGUGAAUUGCAGAAUCCCGUGAACCAUCGAGUUUUCGAACGCAAGUUGCGCCCGAAGCCUUUUGGCCGAGGGCACGUCUGCCUGGGCGUCACGCAUCGCGUCGCCCCCCACAAUUCUCCGUAAAAGGAACAUGUGUUUUGGGGGCGGAUAUUGGUCUCCCGUGCUCAUGGCGUGGUUGGCCGAAAUAGGAGUCCUUUCGAUGGACGCACGAACUAGUGGUGGUCGUAAAAACCCUCGUCUUUUGUUUCGUGCUGUUGCUCGCAAGGUAAACUCUUUAAAAACCCCAAUGUGUCGUCUCUUGACGACGCUUCGACCGCGACCCCAGGUCAGGCGGGACUACCCGCUGAGUUUAAGCAUAUCAAUAAGCGGAGGA
This 404-nucleotide unclassified non-coding RNA is filed under the name soil metagenome. RNAcentral's name for it is "partial contains 5.8S ribosomal RNA, internal transcribed spacer 2, and large subunit ribosomal RNA". The stretch from base 1 to 122 matches the Rfam family "5.8S ribosomal RNA", at positions 35 to 154 of the family's 154-position model. The record is from RNAcentral.